Molecule: unclassified non-coding RNA, 250 nt
Filed under: plant metagenome
Description: partial contains small subunit ribosomal RNA, internal transcribed spacer 1, and 5.8S ribosomal RNA
Source: RNAcentral
GUAGGUGAACCUGCGGAAGGAUCAUUAACACUUUUAAUGAGUCCAAACCAUUGGAUUUCAACCAACCCGUACGAACCUAUUUCCUUCCGGUUAUUUGAUUGGAGGCGUGUUUCUGUGAUGCUUCUCUCUAUCGGGGUUAAACCUGAUGAAAGAGCACGCAUACAGAAAAAGCCUCACGUUAGAUAACCCGUCCCUGUCAACUUUUUCUCUAACGAUUUUGAACCUAACUGACUAAAACUUUUUUUGCAUU